Molecule: ribosomal RNA, 454 nt
Filed under: Bacillus sp. LT25
Lineage: Bacteria; Bacillati; Bacillota; Bacilli; Caryophanales; Bacillaceae
Description: bacterial SSU rRNA
Rfam family: Bacterial small subunit ribosomal RNA
Source: RNAcentral
UGCAAGUCGAGCGGACAGAUGGGAGCUUGCUCCCUGAUGUUAGCGGCGGACGGGUGAGUAACACGUGGGUAACCUGCCUGUAAGACUGGGAUAACUCCGGGAAACCGGGGCUAAUACCGGAUGCUUGUUUGAACCGCAUGGUUCAAACAUAAAAGGUGGCUUCGGCUACCACUUACAGAUGGACCCGCGGCGCAUUAGCUAGUUGGUGAGGUAACGGCUCACCAAGGCAACGAUGCGUAGCCGACCUGAGAGGGUGAUCGGCCACACUGGGACUGAGACACGGCCCAGACUCCUACGGGAGGCAGCAGUAGGGAAUCUUCCGCAAUGGACGAAAGUCUGACGGAGCAACGCCGCGUGAGUGAUGAAGGUUUUCGGAUCGUAAAGCUCUGUUGUUAGGGAAGAACAAGUACCGUUCGAAUAGGGCGGUACCUUGACGGUACCUAACCAGAAAGCC